RNAcentral lists this ribosomal RNA (497 nucleotides) under uncultured bacterium. RNAcentral describes it as "partial 16S ribosomal RNA". It matches the Rfam family "Bacterial small subunit ribosomal RNA", at positions 28 to 507 of the family's 1533-position model. The record is from RNAcentral.
GAUGAACGCUGGCGGCGUGCCUAAUACAUGCAAGUCGAGCGAACAGAUGAGGAGCUUGCUCCUCUGACGUUAGCGGCGGACGGGUGAGUAACACGUGGAUAACCUACCUAUAAGACUGGGAUAACUUCGGGAAACCGGAGCUAAUACCGGAUAAUAUAUUGAACCGCAUGGUUCAAUAGUGAAAGACGGUUUUGCUGUCACUUAUAGAUGGAUCCGCGCCGCAUUAGCUAGUUGGUAAGGUAACGGCUUACCAAGGCAACGAUGCGUAGCCGACCUGAGAGGGUGAUCGGCCACACUGGAACUGAGACACGGUCCAGGCUCCUACGGGAGGCAGCAGUAGGGAAUCUUCCGCAAUGGGCGAAAGCCUGACGGAGCAACGCCGCGUGAGUGAUGAAGGUCUUCGGAUCGUAAAGCUCGGUUAUUAGUGAAGAACAAAUUUGUAAGUAACUAUGCACGUCUUGACGGUACCUAAUCAGAAAGCCACGGCUAACUACGUG